RNAcentral lists this ribosomal RNA (425 nucleotides) under uncultured bacterium. RNAcentral's name for it is "partial 16S ribosomal RNA". It matches the Rfam family "Bacterial small subunit ribosomal RNA", at positions 354 to 796 of the family's 1533-position model. The record is from RNAcentral.
GUGGGGAAUCUUGCGCAAUGGACGAAAGCCUGACGCAGCCAUGCCGCGUGAAUGAUGAAGGUCUUAGGAUUGUAAAAUUCUUUCACCGGGGACGAUAAUGACGGUACCCGGAGAAGAAGCUCCGGCUAACUUCGUGCCAGCAGCCGCGGUAAUACGAAGGGGGCUAGCGUUGCUCGGAAUUACUGGGCGUAAAGGGCGCGUAGGCGGACAGCUUAGUCAGAGGUGAAAGCCCAGGGCUCAACCUUGGAAUUGCCUUUGAUACUGGCUGUCUUGAGUUUGGGAGAGGUGAGUGGAACUCCGAGUGUAGAGGUGAAAUUCGUAGAUAUUCGGAAGAACACCAGUGGCGAAGGCGACUCACUGGCCCAAUACUGACGCUGAGGCGCGAAAGCGUGGGGAGCAAACAGGAUUAGAUACCCCUGUAGUCC